RNAcentral lists this ribosomal RNA (301 nucleotides) under uncultured bacterium. RNAcentral describes it as "bacterial SSU rRNA". It matches the Rfam family "Bacterial small subunit ribosomal RNA", at positions 28 to 334 of the family's 1533-position model. The record is from RNAcentral.
GAUUAACGCUGGCGGCAUGCCUAAUACAUGCAAAUCGAACGAAGCCUUUUGGCUUAGUGGUGAACGGGUGAGUAACACGUAUCCAAUCUACCCUUAAGUUUGGGAUAACUAGUCGAAAGAUUAGCUAAUACCGGAUAAUAACAUUCACUUGCAUGAGUGAAUGUGGAAAGUUGCGUUUGCAACGCUUUUGGAUGAGGGUGCGACAUAUCAGAUAGUUGGUGAGGUAACGGCUCACCAAGUCGACGAUCGGUAGCCGGACUGAGAGGUUGAACGGCCACAUUGGGACUGAGACACGGCCCAG